This 440-nucleotide ribosomal RNA is filed under the name uncultured bacterium. RNAcentral describes it as "bacterial SSU rRNA". It matches the Rfam family "Bacterial small subunit ribosomal RNA", at positions 338 to 771 of the family's 1533-position model. The record is from RNAcentral.
CCUACGGGAGGCAGCAGUGGGGAAUCUUGCGCAAUGGGCGAAAGCCUGACGCAGCGACGCCGCGUGGGGGAAGAAGGCUUUCGGGUUGUAAACCCCUUUCAGGAGGGACGAAGCCACUCGGGUGAAUAGCCCAGAGGGUGACGGUACCUCCAGAAGAAGCCCCGGCUAACUACGUGCCAGCAGCCGCGGUAAUACGUAGGGGGCAAGCGUUGUCCGGAUUUAUUGGGCGUAAAGAGCGUGUAGGCGGCCAUGUAGGUCCGUUGUGAAAACUCGAGGCUCAACCUCGAGACGCCGAUGGAAACCAUGUGGCUAGAGUCCGGAAGAGGAGAGUGGAAUUCCUGGUGUAGCGGUGAAAUGCGCAGAUAUCAGGAAGAACACCCGUGGCUAAGGCGGCUCUCUAGUACGGUACUGACGCUGAGACGCGAAAGCGUGGGGAGCGA